Molecule: ribosomal RNA, 463 nt
Filed under: uncultured bacterium
Lineage: Bacteria
Description: bacterial SSU rRNA
Rfam family: Bacterial small subunit ribosomal RNA
Source: RNAcentral
GUGCCAGACUCCUACGGGAGGCAGCAGUGAGGAAUAUUGGUCAAUGGCCGGAAGGCUGAACCAGCCAAGCCGCGUGAAGGACGAAGGUGCCAAGCAUUGUAAACUUCUUUUGUCAAGGGACAAAAUCAGGCUCGAGAGCCUGACCGAGGGUACUUGAAGAAAAAGCAUCGGCUAACUCCGUGCCAGCAGCCGCGGUAAUACGGAGGAUGCGAGCGUUAUCCGGAUUUAUUGGGUUUAAAGGGUGCGUAGGCGGGCUGUUAAGUCAGCGGUAAAAAUGCGGUGCUCAACGCCGUCGAGCCGUUGAAACUGGCGUUCUUGAGUGGGCGAGAAGUAUGCGGAAUGCGUGGUGUAGCGGUGAAAUGCAUAGAUAUCACGCAGAACUCCGAUUGCGAAGGCAGCAUACCGGCGCCCUACUGACGCUGAGGCACGAAAGCGUGGGUAUCGAACAGGAUUAGAUACCCUC